GACGAACGCUGGCGGCGUGCUUAACACAUGCAAGUCGAGCGGUAAGGCCCUUUCGGGGGUACACGAGCGGCGAACGGGUGAGUAACACGUGGGUGACCUGCCCUCAGCUCUGGGAUAAGCCUGGGAAACCGGGUCUAAUACCGGAUAUGACCUCAUGACGCAUGUUGUGGGGUGGAAAGCCUUGUGCGGCUGAGGAUGGGCCCGCGGCCUAUCAGCUUGUUGGUGGGGUGAUGGCCUACCAAGGCGACGACGGGUAGCCGGCCUGAGAGGGCGACCGGCCACACUGGGACUGAGACACGGCCCAGACUCCUACGGGAGGCAGCAGUGGGGAAUCUUGCGCAAUGGGCGAAAGCCUGACGCAGCGACGCCGCGUGAGGGAUGACGGCCUGGUU
Molecule: ribosomal RNA, 392 nt
Filed under: uncultured bacterium
Lineage: Bacteria
Description: bacterial SSU rRNA
Rfam family: Bacterial small subunit ribosomal RNA
Source: RNAcentral